This 449-nucleotide ribosomal RNA is filed under the name uncultured prokaryote. Its description in RNAcentral is "partial 16S ribosomal RNA". The record is from RNAcentral.
CCCUAUGGGGUGCAGCAGGCAUUGGAGGAAAAGCUGUAGGCUUCGCCGCUGCCUUUGAUGACGUCAAUAUCUACCCAGAAAGUGCCCUUGGUAUCUGCGCCGGUACCAAAGCGGACUCCAUUCUGGUUUACCAGCAUCCAGUGACCGGUGUAAUCACCUGAUGAACUCGGGGCGACCAUGGCAAUGCUGAUGUCGAUACUCUCGCCAGGUUUGACAGCCUUGGGCAGGUCAAUGAUCUUGGGAGCUGAAAGCUGGUCACCCUUGACAAAUGCAAUAUCAUAUUCUGUGGUCCAGGUGCAGGAACCGAUAUUCUGUAGCCGCCAGGUCUUGGUAAAGCUUGUUCCCGCAACAAUAUCAGUGCCAUCAGGGAUUGAAACAUCACUGACAAAACUCACCCAGUUGCAGGGCACGGGUGUUGGGGUUGGCGGAAUGCGUGUUGGCGGGGGGGC